AAAAGAAACCAACAGGGAUUGCCCUAGUAACGGCGAGUGAAGCGGCAACAGCUCAGAUUUGAAAUCUGGUCCCCAGGGCCCGAGUUGUAAUCUGUAGAGGAUGUUUCUGGCAAGGCGCCGUCCGAGUUCCCUGGAACGGGACGCCGGAGAGGGUGAGAGCCCCGUACAGGCGGACGCCGAGCCUCUGUGAAACUCCUUCGACGAGUCGAGUAGUUUGGGAAUGCUGCUCAAAGCGGGAGGUAAAUUUCUUCUAAAGCUAAAUAUAGGCCAGAGACCGAUAGCGCACAAGUAGAGUGAUCGAAAGAUGAAAAGCACUUUGAAAAGAGGGUUAAAAAGCACGUGAAAUUGUUGAAAGGGAAGCGCCUGUGACCAGACUCGCGCCCGGCGUAUCAUCCGGCGUUCUCGCCGGUGCACUACGCCGGGCUCGGGCCAGCAUCGGUUCUGGUGGGGGGAUAAAGGCGGCGGGGAUGUGGCUCCCCCGGGAGUGUUAUAGCCCGCCGCUCAAUGCCCUCGCCGGGACCGAGGACCGCGCAUUGCAAGGAUGCUGGCGUAAUGGUCACCAGCGACCCGUCUUGAAACACGGACCAAGGAGUCAAGCAUUAGGGCGAGUGUUUGGGUGUAAAACCCGCACGCGAAAUGAAAGUGAACGCAGGUGGGAGCCUCGGCGCACCAUCGACCGAUCCUGAUGUCUUCGGAUGGAUUUGAGUAAGAGCCUUAACGCUUGGACCCGAAAGAUGGUGAACUAUGCUUGUGUAGGGUGAAGCCAGAGGAAACUCUGGUGGAGGCUCGCAGCGGUUCUGACGUGCAAAUCGAUCGUCAAACAUGAGCAUGGGGGCGAAAGACUAAUCGAACCAUCU
Molecule: ribosomal RNA, 857 nt
Filed under: Minimispora superficialis
Lineage: Eukaryota; Fungi; Ascomycota; Sordariomycetes; Phomatosporaceae
Description: Pezizomycotina sp. HZ-2023c partial large subunit ribosomal RNA
Rfam family: Eukaryotic large subunit ribosomal RNA
Source: RNAcentral